UUGCAAACAAAAUUCUUUUGCUGAGGUUCAAACACUUCUCUGCUUUUUUCCAGGUCUCUUCCUUCAAAAUUCAAAUUCAAAUGUCAAGUUUCACCUUUUCUCAGUUUUCUAUCCCUCAUUUUCAUUCUCAUUCAUCUCUCUCCCUCUCUUUUACACUUCCUUCUCCCUCUCUCCGUCGUUCCCACUCUGCCGUUGCGCUGCCACCUCUGUGCCACCGCCACCACCGUGCCGCUGCCAUGGUUGCCUUCUCCACCAAAUCCUUCUCCCUCUAUCUUUCUCUUUCUCUUCCUCCAUCUUUCUCCAAUAGUAACAAGAGGCCUUCUUCUUCGAAGCAAAACCCAAAUUUUGAAGCUUGGAUUCCAUGAAUGUUUGGUCCAACAAGCAUGAGCAACUUUGUGAAAGGGAGCACACAAUUCAUGAGCUUGAAAGGAAAAUGGAAGAGAAAGACAAAGAGUUGCAUUCAAUUAAAUUACACAAUGAAGCAAUCUGCAUGGGCUACACAAGACCUUCUCCGAGAGCAUAACAAAGAACUUGCAACAUUAAGACCCUAAGAGAGGCCAUCCAUCAAGAGUAUUGCCAGGUGGUUGAGAGACGUGUUUUUACAGAGAGGCCAUCCAUCAAGAGUAUCGCAAGGUGGUUGAGAGACGUGUUUUAUAGGUUUGAGUUGUUUACUCGUUAGUGAUUGUAUUCUAUUUUAUGCCAUUAACUUUCAUUCAAAUGGAGUUAAUUUGUUUUUAUUCUAUGUUUUUCACGAUUUUCAGUUAUGGGCACAAGAGCUGAUAAGGAGAUUUUCUUUCUUUUCUUAACUAUUAUUCAUCAAUUAAUGAUGUAGAGCUGAUGGAAAUGUCUUUUAAAAGUUUGUCUUCUAAUCAUAUAACUAUGUACAAACAAUUGACAGAUUCAUUGAAACUGGAGAUAGUUAACAAAUUUUCCAGAAGGUUAUCCCGGGAACAAGGACAAGGCCAGGUUCAUAUGUUCCUCUUGCUUUCUUCUUCAAUUCCUCCUCAAAUGCACAUUCAACUUUUUGUAUUAUCCCAUAUCAACAUGAAUAUCAUUCACUCAUCUAAACCCACCAUUCAUACGUUGUCAAUAAUUCCAUCCUUUGAAAUAAACCCACCAUCUUAAUUUUUCAUUUAUAUAAUAUUUCCUUUGCUAACCACCACUAUUUUUUCAUGUAACAUGUUUCACAAUAGGAAAUGAUCAAGAACAUGCUUUAUGACUUAAAAGCUAAUCUUUGAUUUGAACUUUUGUUUUCAGUCACAUAUAUAAGGCUGAUCAAGAACCACUUUAAAUAUUGUAGAACAAUGUUAUUCCUAAAGAUAGCUUUUAUCAAAGUUGUUAGCUCAGAAGGAUAAACAAUCAUACUUUCAAUUAAUAUUUUUAAUUAUAAGAUUAUGAUACCAUUCUCAUUCUCAUGCUUUAGACCAAAAUAAUAAUAAUAAUCCAUUGUUAGUACAGGAAGCUAAUUCUUACCCAAGAAGAAGGAGUUGAAGCCUAUGACAUUGUUGCUAUUAAACUUAGAGGAGUUAAUGUUGUUACUAACUUUGAUAUAACAAGAUAUGACGUGGAAAAAAUUAUGGAGAGCAAUAACAUUCUUAGAAGUGAACAAGCUAUUUGUUUUUGUUUCCUUUUCAGCUAGAGAAAGGUGUGGAUGGAUUAAUUGACAGCUUUGCAAGGUUGGAUUCAUGAAUUUCAAGUGUUGGUCAAACAACAACAAAAAUAGGGUGUAGAUGCUUGACGAGAAACUUCCAGUCAAACAAAUGAGUUGAUAAAAGUAAUACCAGUUCGUUAAUUUUUUUUUAAUUUUACCAUCAUUUGUGUUAGGAAAUUUACCUAUCAUUGAUUAAUUUAUGUAGUACUUAAUGGAAUUCAAUAGCAGCCCAGGCGACCUGAUGGAUCUUUCACCUCUUUUUUCUAGUGAUAGUCGUGUUGCUGAUGCUGUUUUGAUUGCCCAGAAAUUACGUAACAAUUAAGAUUCCUUUUGAAUGUUAUACAACUCUUUAACCAAAUUAUGUCAAUGUUAUGCUAAUUAUGUUAAUUUUCACGGUCAUUUGCUGAAGAAGAUAUAGGAAGACAUGGAAUACUUGUCCCAUCAGCUACGGGAAAUGCAACUGCUAACAACUAACAGAGGAUUAAAAGUAGCAGUUGCUAAUUUACAGGACUACUGCAAUGA
Long non-coding RNA from Glycine soja, 2173 nucleotides. RefSeq lists it as uncharacterized. The record is from RefSeq and is a predicted model, not a curated record. The transcript is spliced from 6 exons. Lineage: Eukaryota; Viridiplantae; Streptophyta; Magnoliopsida; Fabales; Fabaceae.